UACGUAGGGUGCAAGCGUUGUCCGGAAUUAUUGGGCGUAAAGAGCUCGUAGGCGGUUUGUCGCGUCGGCUGUGAAAACCCGGGGCUCAACCCCGGGCCUGCAGCCGAUACGGGCAAGCUAGAGUUCGGUAGGGGAGACUGGAAUUCCUGGUGUAGCGGUGAAAUGCGCAGAUAUCAGGAGGAACACCGGUGGCGAAGGCGGGUCUCUGGGCCGAUACUGACGCUGAGGAGCGAAAGCGUGGGGAGCAAACAGG
This 253-nucleotide ribosomal RNA is filed under the name uncultured bacterium. RNAcentral's name for it is "partial 16S ribosomal RNA". It matches the Rfam family "Bacterial small subunit ribosomal RNA", at positions 524 to 776 of the family's 1533-position model. The record is from RNAcentral.